CCCCUCCUACGGGGGGCAGCAGUGGGGAAUAUUGCACAAUGGGGGAAACCCUGAUGUAGCGACGCCGCGUGAGCGAAGAAGUAUUUCGGUAUGUAAAGCUCUAUCAGCAGGGAAGAAAAUGACGGUACCUGACUAAGAAGCCCCGGCUAAAUACGUGCCAGCAGCCGCGGUAAUACGUAUGGGGCAAGCGUUAUUCGGAUUUACUGGGUGUAAAGGGCGCGCAGGCGGCUUGGCAAGUCUGAUGUGAAAGGCUGGGGCUCAACCCCAGUACUGCAUGGGAAACUGUUAGG
RNAcentral lists this ribosomal RNA (290 nucleotides) under uncultured bacterium. RNAcentral's name for it is "partial 16S ribosomal RNA". It matches the Rfam family "Bacterial small subunit ribosomal RNA", at positions 333 to 640 of the family's 1533-position model. The record is from RNAcentral.